GAUGAACGCUGGCGGCGUGCCUAAUACAUGCAAGUAGAACGCUGAAGGAAGGAGCUUGCUCUUUCCGGAUGAGUUGCGAACGGGUGAGUAACGCGUAGGUAACCUGCCUGGUAGCGGGGGAUAACUAUUGGAAACGAUAGCUAAUACCGCAUAACAGUAGAUGUUGCAUGAUAUCUACUUAAAAGGUGCAAUUGCACCACUACCAGAUGGACCUGCGUUGUAUUAGCUAGUUGGUGAGGUAACGGCUCACCAAGGCGACGAUACAUAGCCGACCUGAGAGGGUGAUCGGCCACACUGGGACUGAGACACGGCCCAGACUCCUACGGGAGGCAGCAGUAGAGAAUCUUCGGCAAUGGACGGAAGUCUGACCGAGCAACGCCGCGUGAGUGAAGAAGGUUUUCGGAUCGUAAAGCUCUGUUGUAAGAGAAGAACGAGUGUGAGAGUGGAAAGUUCACACUGUGACGGUAUCUUACCAGAAAGGGACGGCUAACUACGUG
Molecule: ribosomal RNA, 497 nt
Filed under: uncultured bacterium
Lineage: Bacteria
Description: partial 16S ribosomal RNA
Rfam family: Bacterial small subunit ribosomal RNA
Source: RNAcentral